RNAcentral lists this small nuclear RNA (117 nucleotides) under Arabidopsis thaliana x Arabidopsis arenosa. Its description in RNAcentral is "U5". It matches the Rfam family "U5 spliceosomal RNA". Rfam says of the family: U5 RNA is a component of both types of known spliceosome. The precise function of this molecule is unknown, though it is known that the 5' loop is required for splice site selection and p220 binding, and that both the 3' stem-loop and the Sm site are important for Sm protein binding and cap methylation. The record is from RNAcentral. Lineage: Eukaryota; Viridiplantae; Streptophyta; Magnoliopsida; Brassicales; Brassicaceae.
AGCCGUGUGGUGAGCACAAAGCGAACUAUUCUUUCGCCUUUUACUAAAGAAUACCGUGUGCUCUCCACUUCAAACGGCAUACACCUAUUUUUGGAGGAGUUACUUCUAUUGAAGUUU